RNAcentral lists this ribosomal RNA (861 nucleotides) under uncultured bacterium. Its description in RNAcentral is "bacterial SSU rRNA". It matches the Rfam family "Bacterial small subunit ribosomal RNA", at positions 8 to 904 of the family's 1533-position model. The record is from RNAcentral.
AGAGUUUGAUCAUGGCUCAGGAUGAACGCUGGCGGCGUGCCUAACACAUGCGAGUCGAGCGAUUCUCUUCGGAGAAGAGCGGCGGAUGGGUGAGUAUCGCGUGGUGAACCUGCCCUGUACACACGGAUAACAUACCGAAAGGUAUGCUAAUACGGGAUAAUGUUCUUUUGUCGCAUGGGAAAAGUAUCAAAGCUCCGGCGUUACAGGAUGGACCCGCGUCUGAUUAGCUAGUUGGAGAGGUAAUGGCUCACCAAGGCGACGAUCAGUAGCCGACCUGAGAGAGUGAUCGGCCACAUUGUAACUGGCGCCGGUUUUCAACUCCUACGGGAGGCAGCAGUGGGGAAUAUUGCACAAUGGGCGAAAGCCUGAUGCAGCAACGCCGCGUGAGCGAUGAAGGCCUUCGGGUCGUAAAGCUCUGUCCUCAAGGAAGAUAAUGACGGUACUUGAGGAGGAAGCCCCGGCUAACUACGUGCCAGCAGCCGCGGUAAUACGUAGGGGGCUAGCGUUAUCCGGAAUUACUGGGCGAAAGGGUUUGACAAAGGUGGUUUUCUUAAGUCAGAGGUGAAAGGCUACGGCUCAACCGUAGUAAGCCUUUGAAACUGAGAAACUUGAGUGCAGGAAGGAGAGUAGAAUUCCUAGUGUAGCGGUGAAAUGCGUAGAUAUUAGGAGGAAUACCAGUUGCGAAGGCGGCUCUCUGGACUGUAACUGACACUGAGGCACGAAAGCGUGGGGAGCAAACAGGAUUAGAUACCCUGGUAGUCCACGCCGUAACGAUGAGUACUAGGUGUCGGGGUUACCCCCUCGGCCGCAGCUAACGCAUUAGUACUCCGCCUGGGAGUACGCUCGCAGAGUGAAACUCAA